This 1136-nucleotide long non-coding RNA is filed under the name Numida meleagris (helmeted guineafowl). Its description in RNAcentral is "lncRNA (ENSNMEG00000020442.1)". Lineage: Eukaryota; Metazoa; Chordata; Aves; Galliformes; Numididae. The record is from RNAcentral.
AUAUUAUUUUCACAUUUUGUAUCUCCAAGAAGCAUAAGCAAUACCAAGUAAUAUCAUCUCCUAAACAGCUGCGGAUCUUUUCAUAAAUGUCACUGAAUUUAUUUUUGCAUUUUACAGAACUGAAAAUUAGCUAGUGUGGUGUAAGUAAUAUUCCUGUAAAUUUCCAAUCCUGAUUUUGUAAUAAACAGACAAAAGAAAGAGUUCAUUCAGCACUUCUGUAUGUUCUGAGUACUUGAUGGCUUUGCUAUAAAUAAUUAUGACUUGAUUUCUCUUUGUGGGGACUUCCAUACUUUUUCUGUGUAAGUUCCACUGUGAGGACCCAUUCUUUUGUUUGCUAUAGCAGUGUUCCUUCUGGUCAUCAAAUCUGUGACAUUUCUUUUUGCCUUUUGACAAUGAAAGACUUAACUGUCCUCUUUUAGGCUGAGGAUGUGAUGCAGGAGUUGCAACUGUGUAAUUUUUUUGUAACUCCAAUUAAUUUGAUUAAAGAUUAUGUGCCUGUUUGAUGAGGAGUGACUCAUCUGUGUGUUACUUUCAGGCUACCUUGCUCUUGAGUUCUUCACUGCCAAAAGCUCACACUUUUGGGGACAGUAACAAGUAGCUAAAUUCUUGCUGGAUGAACAGAGCUCAGAUAAUGCCCUUUACAAUAAAAAAAUCUUUGCUGCUGCAGUUAUUUCUGUCCCACUCACUUUAUAAGAAGAUGAUAGAGCCUUCCGGUUGGGUUUCUACUUGACACAAACCAAGCAAAAGGGAACAAAAAGGAUACAAAUAACUUCUGAAGUUUCCUUGCCAGAGAUACAUGGAAUAUUGAAAUAUUCUCUUAUUAUCCAUCCUUUUUGCAAGUCACAUACAAAUGCAAAUACCCAAAGAAGUACAUUUGAAAAGAAGAUAUUUUUUUGUGUUUCAAAACACAGAGCUAAAACACACAUACAUAUCUGUGGUUUAUGGGUACUUAAUUUAUCAAUUUUGACUUCAUAUUGCUAUUGCUUUCAAAUGGGUAUUAAUAUUCCAUUGAAAUUUUAACUCUGCACCAUUUUUUUUUUCAGUUACUGCUGUACCUCUAUUGCAGAAAGUAUUUUCUUACGAUUUUUUACAUUCUGUAACUAUAUUAUAUUGUAUAACACAUAUCCCUUCUUCAC